CCCUUCGAUGUCCUGGGCCGCACGCGCGCUACAAUGACAGUUUCAAAAAGUACAUCAAUGAUAUCUACUUUGUCUAUGUUUUUAUUGAAAAAUAAAGAUAUAGGGACUGUAGUAUAUCUACACCUUUGCUGAAACAGUAAGGGUAAUCUUAGAAAGACUGUCGUGAUGGGGAUAGAUCAUUGGAAUUAUUGGUCUUAAACGAGGAAUUCCUAGUAAGCAUAAGUCAUCAGCUUAUGCUGAUUACGUCCCUGCCCUUUGUACACACCGCCCGUCGCUCCUACCGAUUGAAUGAUCCGGUGAAGAUAUCGGAUGGUUUUGGACAUCUAUCAAUGAAUUUUGUUGAAAGAUGAAAUUUUAUUGUAAUGUCUAUCAGAAGUUAUCUAAACCUUAUUAUUUAGAGGAAGGAGAAGUCGUAACA
Molecule: ribosomal RNA, 418 nt
Filed under: uncultured eukaryote
Lineage: Eukaryota
Description: partial 18S ribosomal RNA
Rfam family: Eukaryotic small subunit ribosomal RNA
Source: RNAcentral